RNAcentral lists this ribosomal RNA (497 nucleotides) under uncultured bacterium. RNAcentral describes it as "partial 16S ribosomal RNA". It matches the Rfam family "Bacterial small subunit ribosomal RNA", at positions 28 to 507 of the family's 1533-position model. The record is from RNAcentral.
GAUGAACGCUGGCGGCGUGCCUAAUACAUGCAAGUCGAGCGAACAGACGAGGAGCUUGCUCCUCUGACGUUAGCGGCGGACGGGUGAGUAACACGUGGAUAACCUACCUAUAAGACUGGGAUAACUUCGGGAAACCGGAGCUAAUACCGGAUAAUAUAUUGAACCGCAUGGUUCAAUAGUGAAAGACGGUUUUGCUGUCACUUAUAGAUGGAUCCGCGCCGCAUUAGCUAGUUGGUAAGGUAACGGCUUACCAAGGCAACGAUGGGUAGCCGACCUGAGAGGGUGAUCGGCCACACUGGCACUGAGACACGGUCCAGACUCCGACGGGAGGCAGCAGUAGGGAAUCUUCCGCAAUGGGCGAAAGCCUGACGGAGCAACGCCGCGUGAGUGAUGAAGGUCUUCGGAUCGUAAAACUCUGUUAUUAGGGAAGAACAAAUGUGUAAGUAACUAUGCACGUCUUGACGGUACCUAAUCAGAAAGCCACGGCUAACUACGUG